This 464-nucleotide ribosomal RNA is filed under the name uncultured bacterium. RNAcentral describes it as "partial 16S ribosomal RNA". It matches the Rfam family "Bacterial small subunit ribosomal RNA", at positions 29 to 507 of the family's 1533-position model. The record is from RNAcentral.
ACGCACGCUGGCGGCGUGCUUCACCCAUGCCAGUCGCACGGAAAGGCCCCAGCUUGCUGGGGUACUCGAGUGGCGAACGGGUGAGUAACACGUGGGUGAUCUGCCCUGCACUCUGGGAUAAGCCUGGGAAACUGGGUCUAAUACCGGAUAGGACCGUGCUCUAGUGUGUGCGGUGGAAAGUUUUUCGGUGCAGGAUGAGCCCGCGGCCUAUCAGCUUGUUGGUGGGGUAAUGGCCUACCAAGGCGGCGACGGGUCGCCGGCCUGAGAGGGUGUACGGCCACAUUGGGACUGAGACACGGCGCAGACUCCUACGGGAGGCAGCAGUGGGGAAUAUUGCACAAUGGGCGCAAGCCUGAUGCAGCGACGCCGCGUGGGGGAUGACGGCCUUCGGGUUGUAAACCCCUUUCGGCAGGGACGAAGCUUUUGUGACGGUACCUGAAGAAGAAGCACCGGCUAACUACGUG